GGGGCUGACUGGUUUUGACAGCGGGUAGAAGAGGUAUGUAAGCAUGUAGGGCCUUGAUCGCACAGCCCGUAAAACUCGGCGUUCACAAUUCAAUUGGCGAAAAUAACUACGCUCUUGCUGCGUAACCGAAAUUAAGUAGGUUAUACUUUAUUCCGAUACCAGGUAUUGGAACGAGACAUCGCCCGGGUGCUACUUCCCUGAAGCGGCCCGAUCAGGCGGUGCAAAAAAAUCGGGGAUAGUGGAAGUGGUGCUUCGGAACUUCUGCAAAAUUAAGAAGCUAAGGUAAAAGUCGGUGGCCCUGAUCCAGCUUUUAUUCGAAAAUCAAGUCUGGGGAUAAACAUGUAGAAGGCAUAUUGCUUCCUCGUUUGGACGCGGGUUCGAUUCCCGCCAGCUCCACUU
Molecule: transfer-messenger RNA, 399 nt
Filed under: Bacteroidota bacterium
Lineage: Bacteria; Pseudomonadati; Bacteroidota
Rfam family: transfer-messenger RNA
About the family: Bacterial tmRNA, also known as 10Sa RNA or SsrA, is named for its dual tRNA and mRNA-like properties. Its role is to liberate the mRNA from a stalled ribosome. To accomplish this part of the tmRNA is used as a reading frame that ends in a translation stop signal.
Source: RNAcentral